AAGGAAAGAAAAAGAAUAGAAAGAGAGAGUAACUGCACCAAUAAGUAGCCAUUUUGUUCAGGGACAGACACUAGGUGUAAGGGGUGCCCCCAAAAUAAUUUACGAAAGAACUUUGAUAGCGGAAUGUAGCCUCAUUUGCAGGUUCUACCCCCCUUUGUUGGCUUUGUAUCGUACCACUGUCCUGGUUCCAAAAUUUGCUAUCCAUAUUGUUCUCCUCUCUCCUUAAUUUCAAUUCCCA
Molecule: non-coding RNA, 238 nt
Organism: Paramuricea clavata
Lineage: Eukaryota; Metazoa; Cnidaria; Anthozoa; Malacalcyonacea; Plexauridae
Source: the annotation of a GenBank genome assembly